GACGAACGCUGGCGGCGUGCUUAACACAUGCAAGUCGAACGGUGAAGCACCUUCCUUUUGGUGGGUGUGGAUGAGUGGCGAACGGGUGAGUAACACGUGAGUAACCUGCCCCCUUCUUCUGGAUAACCGCAUGAAAGUGUGGCUAAUACGGGAUAUUCUGGGUCUGUCGCAUGGCGGGCCUGGGAAAGAUAUUGUUUCGGUGGGGGAUGGGCUCGCGGUCUAUCAGCUUGUUGGUGGGGUGAUGGCCUACCAAGGCGGUGACGGGUAGCCGGCCUGGGAGGGUGGACGGUAACACGGGGAAUGAGACACGGCCCAGACUCCUACGGGAGGCAGCAGUGGGGAAUAUGGCACAAUGGGCGCAAGCCUGAUGCAGCGACGCCGCGUGAGGGAUGGAGGCCUGCGGGUUGUAAACCUCUUUCGCCAGUGAAGCAGGCCUGUCCCUUUUGUGGGUGGGUUGACGGUAGCUGGAUAAGAAGCGCCGGCUAACUACGUG
Molecule: ribosomal RNA, 493 nt
Filed under: uncultured bacterium
Lineage: Bacteria
Description: partial 16S ribosomal RNA
Rfam family: Bacterial small subunit ribosomal RNA
Source: RNAcentral